GUCUUUUUGAUGAAUAAUUUAAAGUUUAAUCUGCCCCCUGAUUUUUAAUUAAAGGGCUGCAGUAUAUUGACUGUACAAAGGUAGCAUAAUCAUUAGUCUUUUAAUUGAAGACUUGUAUGAAAGAUUGGAUGAAAUAUAAACUGUCUCAAAAAUAUUAAUAAAAAUUAAUUUUUUAAUUAAAAAGUUAAAAUAAUUAAAAAAGACGAGAAGACCCUAUAGAGUUUAAUAAUGNNNUUUUUUAUUUUUGAAAAAUAUAUUUAUAUUAAAAAAAUAAAAAAUAUUAUUUUGUUGGGGUGAUAAAAAAAUUAAAAUAACUUUUUUUUAUUUUAANNCAUAAAUAAAUGAAUAAUUGAUCCAUAAAUAAUGAUUAAAAGAAAAAAUUACCUUAGGGAUAACAGCGUAAUUUUUUUUUUUAGUACAAAUAAAAAAAAGAGAUUGCGACCUCGAUGUUGGAUUAAGAUAAAAUUUAAAUGCAAAAGUUUAAAAUUUUGAUCUGUUCGAUCAUUAAAAUCUUACAU
This 518-nucleotide ribosomal RNA is filed under the name Dryas iulia (julia butterfly). Its description in RNAcentral is "partial 16S ribosomal RNA". The record is from RNAcentral. Lineage: Eukaryota; Metazoa; Arthropoda; Insecta; Lepidoptera; Nymphalidae.